Molecule: ribosomal RNA, 120 nt
Filed under: Geminigera cryophila
Lineage: Eukaryota; Cryptophyceae; Pyrenomonadales; Geminigeraceae
Description: partial 5.8S ribosomal RNA
Source: RNAcentral
AGUUAUUAUGAAUCACCAAAACAAGGUCGGCUUUGAAUCUAAUAAAUACAGCCCUUCGUAAGUCGGGCCUUUGUGCAUGUAUUAGCUCUAGAAUUACUACGGUUAUCCAUGUAGCAAGGG